UACAUGGGGUGCAAACGUUGCUCGGAAUUAUUGGGCGUAAAGGGCGUGUAGGCGGGACGGUAAGUCGGGCGUGAAAUCCCUAGGCUCAACCUAGGAACUGCACUCGAAACUACCAUUCUUGAGUGUCGGAGAGGAAAGCGGAAUUCCUGGUGUAGAGGUGAAAUUCGUAGAUAUCAGGAGGAACACCAGUGGCGAAGGCGGCUUUCUGGACGGAUAACUGACGCUGGAGACGCGAAAGCGUGGGGAGCAAACAGG
Molecule: ribosomal RNA, 255 nt
Filed under: uncultured bacterium
Lineage: Bacteria
Description: partial 16S ribosomal RNA
Rfam family: Bacterial small subunit ribosomal RNA
Source: RNAcentral